AGAAAAUGCAGGCGCUGUCGGAGCUGCCGAGUUAGAGUGUGAAUAUGGGAGUGUGGCUCUGUGCGUGCGUGAUGAGCGCCAGACAGAUUCGUGGAAGAAACUGGGUGGCUGUGUGUUUGUGUGAUUGUGCGCACCGGAUAUGGCCAUGUGAGUUGGUUCAUUCUUGGUCCCGUGCCCUUUCUGUUGGGUAAAACUUGGAUCUGGUCCGAGCAAAUCACAGACUUGCUCAUCUCUUCUCGACUUUUCCCUGGCCCUUGUAUUUUUCUCACAAGAGCAAACAGGAAGACUAAUGAAGCGUAUUGAUCUAAUGGAAACUUGUGACCAGAUAAAUGAUCGAAACCUGGAUUGAAACCUGGAAGAAUGCACUUGAAAACUGUGCCCUACUCAUUUUCUCCAUGCUUGUCCUGUCUCAUAACGUUUGAUAUCUUGGCCAGUGGGAGAUAUUUUGCCGUUUGUCCAUCGUUUGUCAUGUGUUAUGUGAUGGAGGGGUCUUGUAGCAGCAGAAAAAAAGAGCAGCUUGUCCUGGGCUUUCCUUUCAAAGUCCCAUUAACAGGUUGUGUGAUGCUGUGUAAAUCACUUAACUAAGCUUUCCCCAGAAAGAUGGGAGAUGGGAGGACAGAAGUUUGGCCCUAGCAAACCCCUACCUACCCCCAAACAAUCGUUAGCUCAGUUUGUAGCCUAUCAGUGUCAGUAUAUGUUAAACUGUAGGCAAAGUGAAAAAUACUGCACUCAAAUAAGGUGUGUGUUAUAAAUUGAUAAGUGGAAAGAGGAGGUAAGGAGACAAUUAAAACACUUGUAACAUAGGCUGAAAGUUGACCAGUUAACUAAAAGGCCUUUGGUUCCAUAAACUUAAUGGAACAGCUGAAAAAGUAGAUGUUUCAGUCAUUUUUAGGACUGCAAAUCUAUUAGAUUUUAGAUUUUUUUCAUGUACUUCUAGACCCGUAAAAUCUUAUGAUUGCUGAAUCUGAAUUCCUAAUUAUUUUUUAUUUCUGAAUCUGAAAGUCACUAAUGUCUUAUUUAAUUUUGUAACAAGAACAAAUACAUAUUUGAAAAAUAAUAACGCGGGUCACCUGGUUGGCUCGGUUGGUGGAGUGUGCAACUCUUGAUCUUGGGGUUGUGGGUUUAAGCCCCAUGUUGGGUGUACAGAUUACUUGAAAAUAAAAUCUUAAAAAAAUAAAAGAAAAGAAAAAUGAUUACUCAAGAUUUGCUCAUGCCAACUGGUAAGAAAUUUCUAUCUCUUGUGAUGAGUGGAUAUAGCGUCCAAAAAUACA
Molecule: long non-coding RNA, 1271 nt
Organism: Herpailurus yagouaroundi (jaguarundi)
Lineage: Eukaryota; Metazoa; Chordata; Mammalia; Carnivora; Felidae
Exons: 3
Source: RefSeq, a predicted model, not a curated record